CGGACGGGUGAGUAACGCGUGGAAAACCUGCCGUAUACUGGGGGAUAACACUUAGAAAUAGGUGCUAAUACCGCAUAAGCGCACAGCUUCGCAUGAAGCGGUGUGAAAAACUCUGGUGGUAUACGAUGGUUCCGCGUCUGAUUAGCUAGUUGGUGGGGUAAUGGCCUACCAAGGCAACGAUCAGUAGCCGGCCUGAGAGGGUGGACGGCCACAUUGGGACUGAGACACGGCCCAAACUCCUACGGAAGGCAGCAG
This 255-nucleotide ribosomal RNA is filed under the name uncultured bacterium. Its description in RNAcentral is "partial 16S ribosomal RNA". It matches the Rfam family "Bacterial small subunit ribosomal RNA", at positions 99 to 354 of the family's 1533-position model. The record is from RNAcentral.